RNAcentral lists this ribosomal RNA (481 nucleotides) under uncultured bacterium. RNAcentral's name for it is "partial 16S ribosomal RNA". It matches the Rfam family "Bacterial small subunit ribosomal RNA", at positions 30 to 507 of the family's 1533-position model. The record is from RNAcentral.
AUUGAACGCUGGCGGCAUGCUUUACACAUGCAAGUCGAACGGCAGCGCGGGGCAACCUGGCGGCGAGUGGCGAACGGGUGAGUAAUAUAUCGGAACGUACCCAGAAGUGGGGGAUAACGUAGCGAAAGUUACGCUAAUACCGCAUACGAUCUACGGAUGAAAGUAGGGGACCGCAAGGCCUUAUGCUUUUGGAGCGGCCGAUAUCUGAUUAGCUAGUUGGUGAGGUAAAGGCUCACCAAGGCGACGAUCAGUAGCUGGUCUGAGAGGACGACCAGCCACACUGGAACUGAGACACGGUCCAGACUCCUACGGGAGGCAGCAGUGGGAAUUUUGGACAAUGGGCGCAAGCCUGAUCCAGCAAUGCCGCGUGAGUGAAGAAGGCCUUCGGGUUGUAAAGCUCUUUUGUCAGGGAAGAAACGGUAGAGGCUAAUAUCCUUUGCUAAUGACGGUACCUGAAGAAUAAGCACCGGCUAACUACGUG